CCUGGCGGCCUUAGCGCGGUGGUCCCACCUGACCCCAUGCCGAACUCAGAAGUGAAACGCCGUAGCGCCGAUGGUAGUGUGGGGUCUCCCCAUGCGAGAGUAGGGAACUAAGACGC
RNAcentral lists this ribosomal RNA (116 nucleotides) under Escherichia coli. The record is from RNAcentral. Lineage: Bacteria; Pseudomonadati; Pseudomonadota; Gammaproteobacteria; Enterobacterales; Enterobacteriaceae.